UACGUGUGGACCAAGCGUUGUUCGGAAUUACUGGGCUUAAAGGGUGCGUAGGUGGUUUGCUCAGUCAGUGGUGAAAGUCCAUCGCCCAACGGUGGAAUUGCCAUUGAUACUAGUAGACUUGAGUGUGUUAGGGGGUUGCGGAACGUUUGGUGUAGCGGUGAAAUGCGUAGAUAUCAAACGGAAGGCCAGAGGCGAAGGCGGCAACCUGGGACACAACUGACACUGAGGCACGAAAGCGUGGGGAGCAAACAGG
Molecule: ribosomal RNA, 253 nt
Filed under: uncultured bacterium
Lineage: Bacteria
Description: partial 16S ribosomal RNA
Rfam family: Bacterial small subunit ribosomal RNA
Source: RNAcentral